This 74-nucleotide transfer RNA is filed under the name Loxodonta africana (African savanna elephant). It matches the Rfam family "tRNA". From Rfam's summary of the family: Transfer RNA (tRNA) molecules are approximately 80 nucleotides in length. Their secondary structure includes four short double-helical elements and three loops (D, anti-codon, and T loops). Further hydrogen bonds mediate the characteristic L-shaped molecular structure. tRNAs have two regions of fundamental functional importance: the anti-codon, which is responsible for specific mRNA codon recognition, and the 3' end, to which the tRNAs corresponding amino acid is attached (by aminoacyl-tRNA synthetases). tRNAs cope with the degeneracy of the genetic code in two manners: having more than one tRNA (with a specific anti-codon) for a particular amino acid; and 'wobble' base-pairing, i.e. permitting non-standard base-pairing at the 3rd anti-codon position. The record is from Rfam by way of RNAcentral. Lineage: Eukaryota; Metazoa; Chordata; Mammalia; Proboscidea; Elephantidae.
GCCCUUGUGGUGCAAAGGGUGAGUGCGCUCGGCUGCUAACCCAAAGGCUGGAGGUUUGAGUCCACCCAGAGGCA